RNAcentral lists this ribosomal RNA (746 nucleotides) under uncultured fungus. RNAcentral describes it as "eukaryotic LSU rRNA". It matches the Rfam family "Eukaryotic large subunit ribosomal RNA", at positions 38 to 633 of the family's 3401-position model. The record is from RNAcentral. Lineage: Eukaryota; Fungi.
GCAUAUCAAUAAGCGGAGGAAAAGAAAAUAACAAUGAUUCCCCCUAGUAACUGCGAGUGAAGAGGGACAAGCUCAAAUUUUAAAUCUGUCGGGUUCUACCUGACCGAGUUGUAAUUUGAAGAGGCGUUUUCUGUGUUUCUGAUCAGUCCAAGUCCUUUGGGAUAAGGCAUCACGGAGGGUGAGAAUCCCGUUCGGUUGAUCAGAUUCGCUUUACGAUACGCUUUCAAAGAGUCAAGUUGUUUGGGAUUGCAGCUUAAAAUGGGAGGUAAAUUUCUCCUAAGGCUAAAUAACGGCGAGAGACCGAUAGCGAACAAGUACCGUGAGGGAAAGAUGAAAAGAACUUUGAAAAGAGAGUUAAAUAGUACGUGAAAUUGUUGAAAGGGAAACGAUUGAAGCCAGUCGUACCUGCGGGUAAUCAGCCUUUUGGGCAUGAUUCUGUGGAGCGUGAGGAGUUAAACGCCUUCAUGCCUGCAUAUUCGUGUACUUUGGGUGUACUUGCCUGUGUGGUUAGUUAACAUCAAUUUUGGUUAUCAUAAAAUGGUUGGAGGAAUGUAGCUUCGAUUUCGAUUGAAGUGUUAUAGCCUUCGGCAGAUGUGAUGAUCGGGAUUGAGGAUUGCAACGGAUACCUUUCGGGGCUACCUGUCUGGUCUCUGAUCGUUGCUUUGGUGCCGAAAGCGUGCUUACGGUUAUCAAAGUCGAUGGUCAAUAGGUUAGAACGGGUUAAAUUCGUUAAGGAUGUUGACGUA